RNAcentral lists this ribosomal RNA (253 nucleotides) under uncultured bacterium. Its description in RNAcentral is "partial 16S ribosomal RNA". It matches the Rfam family "Bacterial small subunit ribosomal RNA", at positions 524 to 776 of the family's 1533-position model. The record is from RNAcentral.
UACAGAGGUCUCAAGCGUUGUUCGGAUUCAUUGGGCGUAAAGGGUGCGUAGGCGGCGCGCUAAGUCGGGUGUGAAAUUUCGGAGCUUAACUCCGAAACUGCAUUCGAUACUGCCGUGCUUGAGGACUGGAGAGGAGACUGGAAUUUACGGUGUAGCGGUGAAAUGCGUAGAUAUCGUAAGGAAGACCAGUGGCGAAGGCGGGUCUCUGGACAGUUCCUGACGCUGAGGCACGAAGGCCAGGGGAGCAAACGGG